GUCGGAGUGGCGGAAUUGGUAGACGCGCUAGCUUCAGGAGCUAGUGAUCGCAAGAUCGUGGGAGUUCAAGUCUCCCCUCCGACACAA
This 87-nucleotide transfer RNA is filed under the name Candidatus Vogelbacteria bacterium CG10_big_fil_rev_8_21_14_0_10_45_14. RNAcentral describes it as "tRNA-Leu". It matches the Rfam family "tRNA". From Rfam's summary of the family: Transfer RNA (tRNA) molecules are approximately 80 nucleotides in length. Their secondary structure includes four short double-helical elements and three loops (D, anti-codon, and T loops). Lineage: Bacteria; Candidatus Vogeliibacteriota. The record is from RNAcentral.